Molecule: transfer-messenger RNA, 363 nt
Filed under: Salmonella enterica
Lineage: Bacteria; Pseudomonadati; Pseudomonadota; Gammaproteobacteria; Enterobacterales; Enterobacteriaceae
Also listed under: 2 other names
Description: Standard tmRNA
Rfam family: transfer-messenger RNA
About the family: Bacterial tmRNA, also known as 10Sa RNA or SsrA, is named for its dual tRNA and mRNA-like properties. Its role is to liberate the mRNA from a stalled ribosome.
Source: RNAcentral
GGGGCUGAUUCUGGAUUCGACGGGAUUUGCGAAACCCAAGGUGCAUGCCGAGGGGCGGUUGGCCUCGUAAAAAGCCGCAAAAAAAUAGUCGCAAACGACGAAAACUACGCUUUAGCAGCUUAAUAACCUGCUUAGAGCCCUCUCUCCCUAGCCUCCGCUCUUAGGACGGGGAUCAAGAGAGGUCAAACCCAAAAGAGAUCGCGUGGAUGCCCUGCCUGGGGUUGAAGCGUUAAAACAAAUCAGGCUAGUCUGGUAGUGGCGUGUCCGUCCGCAGGUGCCAGGCGAAUGUAAAGACAGACUAAGCAUGUAGUACCGAGGAUGUAGGAAUUUCGGACGCGGGUUCAACUCCCGCCAGCUCCACCA